UACAGAGGUCCCAAGCGUUGUUCGGAAUUACUGGGCGUAAAGGGCUCGUAGGCGGCCAACUAAGUCAGACGUGAAAUCCCCAGGCUCAGCCUGGGAACUGCGUCUGAUACUGGAUGGCUUGAAUUCGGGAGAGGGAUGCAGAAUUCCAGGUGUAGCGGUGAAAUGCGUAGAUAUCUGGAGGAAUACCGGUGGCGAAGGCGGCAUCCUGGACCGACAUUGACGCUGAUGAGCGAAAGCUAGGGGAGCAAACGGG
This 253-nucleotide ribosomal RNA is filed under the name uncultured bacterium. RNAcentral describes it as "partial 16S ribosomal RNA". It matches the Rfam family "Bacterial small subunit ribosomal RNA", at positions 524 to 776 of the family's 1533-position model. The record is from RNAcentral.